GCCGGCCGGGUCCGUAGUCCCGCUUCCAGGAGAUGGCGUCCACAUGGUGAACGUGUUUAUAAGUAGCUUCUCCAUGCAAGUCUAUGGUGACCUCAGCGGCGCUGUAGUGAACGGUAUGGCCGGGUUGCCAUGACUACUGAGCAUCUGAAUGAUGUCAUCAGGGCGGCGCCCUGAGACUACCGGAAGCUCCACGCGGACCGGAGGCUGCACACGCCGGCAUGGGGAGGCUAUUUAGAUCACGGCGCGUCGCCAUGGCAACCGACCGGCCCAUGCACAUCACUUCCUGGCUGGCUGUGACGCCGAGAUCAGAAGUGCGGGACGGGGAGGUUCGGGAUCCGUGAUGCACGCAGCUGGGAGUCAUGAAGGGGGGUUUUCUGGACUGUUCUUCCAGUGCUACCGUUGUGGGUUUUUGUGUUUUUUUUU
Molecule: long non-coding RNA, 423 nt
Organism: Pseudophryne corroboree (corroboree frog)
Lineage: Eukaryota; Metazoa; Chordata; Amphibia; Anura; Myobatrachidae
Exons: 4
Source: RefSeq, a predicted model, not a curated record